Molecule: ribosomal RNA, 445 nt
Filed under: uncultured bacterium
Lineage: Bacteria
Description: bacterial SSU rRNA
Rfam family: Bacterial small subunit ribosomal RNA
Source: RNAcentral
GUGAGGAAUAUUGGUCAAUGGACGGGAGUCUGAACCAGCCAAGUAGCGUGAAGGAUGACUGCCCUAUGGGUUGUAAACUUCUUUUAUAUGGGAAUAAAGUGCAGUAUGUAUACUGUUUUGUAUGUACCAUAUGAAUAAGGAUCGGCUAACUCCGUGCCAGCAGCCGCGGUAAUACGGAGGAUCCGAGCGUUAUCCGGAUUUAUUGGGUUUAAAGGGAGCGUAGGCGGAAGCUUAAGUCAGUUGUGAAAGUUUGCGGCUCAACCGUAAAAUUGCAGUUGAUACUGGGUUUCUUGAGUGCAGUAGAGGUAGGCGGAAUUCGUGGUGUAGCGGUGAAAUGCUUAGAUAUCACGAAGAACUCCGAUUGCGAAGGCAGCUUACUGGACUGUAACUGACGCUGAUGCUCGAAAGUGUGGGUAUCAAACAGGAUUAGAAACCCCUGUAGUCC